This is a long non-coding RNA of Raphanus sativus (radish), 288 nucleotides long. RefSeq lists it as uncharacterized. Lineage: Eukaryota; Viridiplantae; Streptophyta; Magnoliopsida; Brassicales; Brassicaceae. The record is from RefSeq and is a predicted model, not a curated record. The transcript is spliced from 2 exons.
CAUGGUGACACAAAGUUCUUGAUCUUGGCAAGCGAUGGACUCUGGAAGGUAAUGUUGAACGAAGAGGCGUGGGACGAGAUCAAAGAGGUUAGGAACGCAGAGAAAGCUGCAAAGGCUUUAGUGGAUGAAGCAUUGGCUAGAGGAAGUAAAGAUGAUAUCUCUUGUGUUGUUGUUUCCUUCAACUAGUUUAAAACCCAUAGGUCUAUAAGUCUCUUCUGAGUUUAAGCAUAUGUUUUCUUUCAAGAACAAGCACUGUUUCCAUAUAUUAAAAAAAGGGUUUUGAGUCGA